This is a long non-coding RNA of Zea mays, 2371 nucleotides long. RefSeq lists it as uncharacterized. The record is from RefSeq and is a predicted model, not a curated record. The transcript is spliced from 11 exons. Lineage: Eukaryota; Viridiplantae; Streptophyta; Magnoliopsida; Poales; Poaceae.
UAAUUGGAGUAGGGUGGAAAGAAUAUGUAUGAUUUUUUUCAAAAAUUUUCGCAAACUUUGUUAGUUCACAUGCACCACAUGUGCACACAUGUUCAUGAGCACAAUAUAUGUUCUCGAUCGUCUCCAACAAUACCCUGUAAAGGGUUCUGUCCGCUAAAUUUAUCGGAUGCUCAUCCCCUAUACGCAUCCAGCAAUGGAUGCUAAAAGGUCUACUAAGUUACAACGUAUCGUCGCCAUCCGCCAAAUCUGGCGGAGGAGCAUCCGCUCGCUAUCCGCCCCUCGCUCCCGCGCCCGCUCAGAGAGUUCCGCCUCACGGUAGUUUCCUCCUAGUCGCCACCGCGCCAGUCGCCGUCCUAGCAGGAUGGCAGUGGCGUUGCUCCGACGGGGAAAGCUGUGUCCUCUCGCCGUGGCCCUGGCAAGAAGAAGGGGAAAGGAGCCUCCUUUCGAUCCGUCACUCCCAAGGAUGUCUAAAAAGGUCAAGCAGCUCGCUAAGGGACUAGCGAGGAGAGCCUCCAUUUUUGGGAGAAAGGAGGACUUAGUGUUCCAGGGCACUAGUUCAAGCUCGAGCAGGCGUAGAGCUUUGUUGGAGCAUGUUCCAGAGUUGCAGGGCCAGGCAGUCGGCGUACUAAGGAAUGAGGAUGAGUCUGAAGAUGAGGUAGAGACAGAGGAGGGGAUACAAGUGGAAGAUGUUGAGGAUGUCCAGGGUAGGGAGGCGGAGAGAGAGUGGGAUGAAUGGCCCAAGGAUGCAAGUGGGUGGCCAGGAGAUGGAGGGUCGGGAGUUGGGGGAGCUAGUGGAGGAGGUUCUGGAAGCGGGGGAGUUGGAGUGUCUUCACGGGUCCGGAAGCCACGAAAGACUAGUUGGGUCCCCCCUCCUAAAGAACCAGUUAACAAGGUUGAGAUAAUACCGUCUGGAGAUGGGGCUUGGGUGGAUAGUAGUUUCACCGGCAAAGAUCGUGUAAGGCAAGUAAAUAAAGUGUUGGGCAAUAUCUGUCGUAUGAGAUGGCCUGGAUUGGUGAUUGAGAAUGGUAUUGAGGUCCCUGUCACAAGAUGGGAUCAAUACGGCCUUACUGUUAACGCGUAAUAUGGGAAUGCGCAAGGUGCAGUUUGGCACGACUUCUGGAAACAUUAUAAGUUGCCUGACGGAGAUACUCAUACCGAGCAUGCACAGUCCGUGUUCCAUAGGAACGCGGCAGAUGUUGUUGCGGAUAUGAUGUACUAUGUUCGAAUCCAGGUGAUUAAUCAAGCUAUGUUGAGUAGUGAAGGACGACGUGCAACCACUAAGAGCGAGGCGUCACAGUAUGGACUUUCUAUGACUGAGCAAGAUUUUCUUCAGCAUUCGAUUUCAUGGAUAGCCGCCAAUGAUGCUGCUUGGCGUGCCUUAUGCCGUUAUUGGGCUUCGGAUGAUUUCAAGGCAAAGUCUAUGCGACAAAGUUCCAAUCGUGGAACCGAGUCGUAUCACAAGUAUGGAGGUGAUGAUCACUUUCGUUUGCCAAAACAAAUGAAGCUAGCAGUGGUGUAGUGCCCAGUGAUGUUCAAGUAUACCUGAGGGGGCACAGAGGACCAGAUCCUGUAAACCCAGAUGUGUUGUGUAGCCAAAAGGCAACAGAUCGUCUGGCUGCAUAUGGUGAGGCGAUGUCUAGUCAGCAUGGAUCGGACUAUGACUGGAGGACUGCAUCUAUUGAUCCUUAGGCUGUGUAUGCAAGUAGUGGAAAACCCCAUGGAAGGUACUCGAUGUUCGAUAACGUCAUCGACUCGAGCCAGGUGACGGUUCAGAGGGGAGGUUUGUCGAGGUCUGCUGCUCGUAGCUCCCGUCGCUCUACUCAGGAUACUACAGAAGUUGAGCAACUACGAGAAGAGCUUAGGCAACAUCAGGAGCGGCAAAGGGUUCAGGAGGAAUACUUGAGGCAACAUGCUGCGCAACAAGAAUACUAUGCUACUCAGUUUCAACAACAGCAAGCACUGAUACAACAACUAGCACAAGCCCAAGGGAUACAGGUUCCGAUGCCCCCCACCUCCACCUCCCAUACAUUUUCCUUGGCCUUCACCUCCACCUCCACCUACCGAACAUUGGGUAUAUGAGACCCCUCUAGCUACCUUGCUGGUGCAGCAACAAGAUGAUGGCUUAGACUUUGUCAAUGCGUUGUUCGCCAGUGGAGGUAGCGAGCAUCACUCUUCGCUGAUUCCUGAUGUUGAUCGACAGUAGUGGACUUCCAUUCUAUGUGUUUUGUGAGACUUGAAACUUGUGUCUUGUGAGACUAUUAUGAAUUGUUAUAUCGAGGCAGAUGUAACUUGUGAGACUUUUUUGUGGAUUGUUCUGGCCAGACUUUUGUGACUUUAUAUGUGACAUGUGAUAUAUUGUGGUUGUUAAAUA